RNAcentral lists this long non-coding RNA (1227 nucleotides) under Anser cygnoides (Swan goose). RNAcentral describes it as "lncRNA (ENSACDG00005001236.1)". The record is from RNAcentral. Lineage: Eukaryota; Metazoa; Chordata; Aves; Anseriformes; Anatidae.
AUGGCUAGGACAGAGCAGAAGGCCCUGACUCCUGACCUGCUCUUCCCAGGCCGUGAGCCACGGGCAGCAACAACCUGCUCGGGCCACAACCAGCGAGAACCCAACCCAAGCGCCCCCGGCCGCGCGGACCUUCCAUCGCCCUCCCCCGGCGGCCGGCCCAGCCCGCACAGCUCCCCUACCCGCCUCCAAAACUGCCGCAAAAACCUCAAUUUUGGGUCAAACACCGCCCCCGGCUCCCCUCCCCAGCGCCCCCCGACAUGGCGGCGGGGAAGGAGCGGCGCUUACGGCCGGGCUGCGGCCCGCGGGGCGCCGCGCUCCCGAACAGCCGCCGCCGGCAGGGCUGCAGCGGGCUGGGGCAGCCCGGGGCAGCCGCCCCGCCGGGCAGCGGGGACGAGCAGCGCUUCUUCCGCGGCGCCUUGCCGCCCCGCCACCGGCACCGCUCCAUUCCCCUCCGGGGCGGCGAGGGGCCGCCCUCUCCCGAGGCACCCGGCCACCUCCAACCGCCCCCGGGCGCCGUUGGGCCGGGACAGCCGGGGCGCGUCUCGCAUGCGCGGAGCCCGGAGCACCCCCGGUCCGGCCCGGCCCCUCCGGUCCUCCGUGAGGGCAGCCCCGGGGCCCGCAGCCCGGCGAUGCUCGGCCGGGGCCGGGUGGGCGCCGGGCUCGGCUCCGCCCGGGCUGAGGCGGCUGCGGGGGAAUGGGGAGGGUUGGAUUUUCCUGGGCGUUACAUCGAUAAACAUCGGGCCUGAGGGGAUUUGCGCCGGGCGGGUGAUAAAUCAACGUCUCGGGCGGUUGCGAGGAUGGAAGGGAGAAAUGGAAGCCGAGGGGAACCGCCCGCGGCUGGGCGCGCCCGUGGGAUCAGCCCUGGGGCCCUCAGGCUUGGGACACCUGGGAGGUGUUGGCAGGCCGCAGCUGCGGUGGCUGCCUUCCGUAAGGCGAGCGCCAGGCCCUGGUUUCUGGCGAAAAAUGAAUCACCAGAAAGUACCAUUCCCCAUGAAACUUCCAGCCCCAUCCCACUCUUCCGUCUGGUGGCUUUGGCUUGUGUGCUGCUGCUGCUGCUGCUCAGCUCCCCUGACCGUGACUAAGAAAUCUGCAGGUACAUUGAGGCCUGAGACACGCCUUGCAGCCAGAAGCGUGUACGUUAUAUUCCCUUUGGUGAUCAGACCAGAUGCUUCAGCUUGUGUUUAUAGAGAAGAGGAAUCUCGUUGCUUCUUUAACAAGGCGAAAUAA